This is a long non-coding RNA of Ornithorhynchus anatinus (platypus), 191 nucleotides long. RefSeq lists it as uncharacterized. The transcript has 2 exons. The record is from RefSeq and is a predicted model, not a curated record. Lineage: Eukaryota; Metazoa; Chordata; Mammalia; Monotremata; Ornithorhynchidae.
CUUCUGCGGGGAAAGAAUAUGCCACCCAACUUAUGAGGGCCCAAGUCCCAACAUGACUGCGAUCUAAGAUCGUUCCCUGGUCCACAUGGUCCACAUGUUGAGGAAGAGUUCAUGCAAUUGUUUAAGCAGGGUGUCCCUCCAUGUUUGUAGAUCUAUCAGCAAAUAAAUCAUCCAGUCCAAGUGCUACUCUA